GAUGAACGCUGGCGGCGUGCCUAAUACAUGCAAGUCGAGCGAACAGACGAGGAGCUUGCUCCUCUGACGUUAGCGGCGGACGGGUGAGUAACACGUGGAUAACCUACCUAUAAGACUGGGAUAACUUCGGGAAACCGGAGCUAAUACCGGAUAAUAUAUUGAACCGCAUGGUUCAAUAGUGAAAGAUGCUUUUGCUGUCCCUUAUAGAUGGAUCCGCGCCGCAUUAGCUAGUUGGUAAGGUAACGGCUUACCAAGGCAACGAUGCGUAGCCGACCUGAGAGGGGGAUCGGCCACACUGGAACGGAGACACGGUCCAGACCCCUACGGGAGGCAGAAUAAGGGAAUCUUCGGCAAUGAGCGAAAGCCGGACGGAGCAACGCCGCGUGAGGGAUGAAGGUCUUCGGAUCGUAAAACUCUGUGAUUAGGGAAGAACAAAUGUGGAAGUAACUAUGCACGUCGUGACGGUACCUAAUCAGAAAGCCACGGCUAACUACGUG
This 497-nucleotide ribosomal RNA is filed under the name uncultured bacterium. RNAcentral's name for it is "partial 16S ribosomal RNA". It matches the Rfam family "Bacterial small subunit ribosomal RNA", at positions 28 to 507 of the family's 1533-position model. The record is from RNAcentral.